RNAcentral lists this transfer RNA (73 nucleotides) under Stegodyphus mimosarum. It matches the Rfam family "tRNA". From Rfam's summary of the family: Transfer RNA (tRNA) molecules are approximately 80 nucleotides in length. Their secondary structure includes four short double-helical elements and three loops (D, anti-codon, and T loops). Lineage: Eukaryota; Metazoa; Arthropoda; Arachnida; Araneae; Eresidae. The record is from Rfam by way of RNAcentral.
ACCUUCGUGGCGUAGUGGUCAACACACUCGACGCCUAUUCCAGAGGUCCGUGGUUCGAGUCCCGGCGAGGGCA